This 494-nucleotide ribosomal RNA is filed under the name uncultured bacterium. RNAcentral's name for it is "bacterial SSU rRNA". It matches the Rfam family "Bacterial small subunit ribosomal RNA", at positions 28 to 526 of the family's 1533-position model. The record is from RNAcentral.
AACGAACGUUGGCGGCGUGGAUUAGGCAUGCAAGUCGAACGAAUCCCUAGGGGCUUGCUCCUAGGGGGAAGUGGCGAAAGGGGCAGUAAGGCGUGGGUAACCUCCCUCGGGGACCGGGAUAGCCUUCCUAACGGAAGGGUAAUACCGGGCGAUGUAGCGAUGAGGCAUCUUGUUGCUAUGAGAUGAAUUUCGCCUCGAGACGGGCCCACGUGGUAUUAGCUAGUUGGUAGGGUGAUGGCCUACCAAGGCGAAGAUGCCUAGCGGGUGUGAGAGCACGACCCGCGCCACUGGCACUGCGACACUGGCCAGACUCCUACGGGAGGCUGCAGUCGAGGAUCUUCGGCAAUGGGCGCAAGCCUGACCGAGCGACGCCGCGUGCGCGAUGAAGGCCUUCGGGUUGUAAAGCGCUGUCGAGGGGGAGGAAAGCCCGCAAGGGCCUGACCUAUCCCUGGAGGAAGCACGGGCUAAGUUCGUGCCAGCAGCCGCAGUAACAC